GCUAUUUUUUUGACCCAAGAUGUAAAUUAAUCUGGGGGCCAAAUCACUCGCUGUCUGGUCUAUAGAGCUUUGAUCUUUUCCCCUAUCAGAGGAGUAUCUUAAAAUUGCAAGCUCUGUUAAAGUAAAUACUAAAAUGUAGGCUUACUUUUAGAUGUUCCUUGCUGGGCAGGGAGCAAUUGUAACCCGUAUGUUGCCCAAAUGAGGGUAGUUCUAUGGAUUUGCAUUUAUUUCUGAGUAUGCCACUGUGUGUCAGGCUUCAGCUUUGCUACAUGUUUCCCAGAAAACAGCUACUGACUGGUACUGCAACCCCAGUAGAGAGCUGGUGAACGAAGGGAGAAUGUUGGAAGAAAGAAGUAUGUUGGUGCCCUGGAUCUGCAACAGCAGAUCUUUCUGAAUAGCAGCUGCAACAGAUUUCUUCUGGUUGGAACAUUUCAAGAUCGUCAGGUUAAAACGCAUUGUGAAAAUGUCAAUCAAAACCUGAGUGCCAGGGACUGCUGCUCCCAGGGGCCCUGCCUGAGAAGGGCUGACCGAACUCCCCCUUGCUGCCGAGCUUCGUGGGUGCAGGGCCCCGCUCGCAGCCACACACCAUGGUGCAAACACCAGGCAAGGCUGGGCAGGAGGAAACUCGGUGUCAGCAGCCUCUUUUCAUCUGUGUGCAACGAAACCCCUCGGCCAAGGCCGUCCCUAAUGGCCGCCGCACACAAACAAUGUCCUGAUUGUGCCUCACCACUUGGACUCUCCUACAAACACAGUCUCUGUGUCGGUAUUAAUUAAAAACAAAGCCUGCUUGCAAUGCCCAGUUUGUGAACCCGUUCCGGCAGCCACACUGAAGCAAUCCUUGUGGGACCUGGGUUGCUUUAAGCUAAAGAAAAGGGGCCACUGGAUCGGCUUUCCCUGAUGAAACCUGGCGCCUGAAGGUUUGGUAUCACACCCCAACCUGCCUGCACAAACCUCCCUGGUGCUGCCGUUCUGCCGACGUCUGCGAAGGCCGGGCCAGUCUUUUGCAAGCCUGUUUGUUUGCUGUGGAAGAACUUCAGCUUUAUUAUCUGUGCGAUGACAGACUCCAGGGCCGCUGCUAUUGUUUUAUUUGAAUUGCAGAGAGCUUAAAUCGCCCCAGUCCUGGCCCCUAAUGCCACCGUGUCUGGGGCUAUACAAAUACAGAAAACCCAGGUGGGUCUUGUUCUUCCUAAACCUCCUGCUGAGCUCCCUGGGAGUGCUGCUGGUUAAGCAAAGUAGGUCAGCGUUCCCGACACACAGACGUACGCGCACAUCAGACAGGAGAGAUGCAAACUGGAAUAUUAAACCGCCAAGUGGCUGUUAAAAACUAUGCACAAGGGCAAUUAAAAUAUUAGCAUCCUUUCAUGUAAGCAAAGCAGACAGAAGUGGCAAUUAGUUUCAGUUACAACUUUGGAGUCCUGGAGGAGUGUCCCUGGAGGCAUUUUCUUUCUGGCCACCUGACAGUUGCAGCCAUCGAUUUGACAACCAACCUGGGGGGUAUGGAUGUGCCUGCACAGGCACCCACCUCCACGCAGGUGGGAGCACAAGGCCCAGCACCAUGUGUGACAGGACACGUGCAUACUCACGGUCAGGCUGCUUCCCCACCUCUCAGCACUGGCCUGUGACACACAAACACAGCAAGUGCUGCCCCAGCCCGUCACUUCUCUUCGGAAAUGAAGUAGACAACUUUAUUGUAAGGAAAGUCGCCGAGCCCUUGCUGCCACCCACUGCAAACCUCCCUCGAUACUUAAAUGUUGUGCUGAUGAUUAAUAAAAGUAACUCUGUAUGGGUGAGUCAUGGGGGCGGUUUCUUUCAUUCAUUCUUUCAUUCAUUCAUUCUUUCAUUCAGGUUGUGACUGCAACCAAAAUAAAGGUGCCCUGCCAAUCCCCAGUCCCAGGCACUAUCCGGCCCCCUCGCCUGGGGAAGAGCCAUCCAACACUGGGGGAAAUAAACACCGGUAGUUCACUGAGUUCACUUUAAUCAGGUUAGCGUUUGCCAAGCCGAUUACUGCAAAACCAUUUAAAACCCUAAUCGCAGCUCAGAAGACACUGAGCUCUUGUGUAUCAAGGAGAGCUGGUGGGGGCCGAGUUUGGGUUUUAAAUGGAAUUAAAAAAAAAAAAAAAAAGAUACAAGAAAAAGGUUACCAAAAUGUUUAGCCUUUGUUUUAUUGAGUUACAACAAAUAAGCAACAAGUUAGAAAAGUUGGAUUUAUUCAAACUCCCUAGCAUCCUAUUUGUGCAGCGUACUGAAAGGUGGGUAAGUUUUCCAAACCCAGCUUGUCAGAGGAAUGCACUGGAUGGCUCCUGCACCCGCUCACCUGCACACCCACGCUCCCGCUCUCCCUCCUCCUCCUCACACAUGCACAGACAGACACCCCACACAAAUCCAAAGUAGCAGUAUUUGAAAAAAAGUGCACCUGGGAACCUAGGAUUGAUCUAAAAAUUUAGUGGCAAGGGUUAAUCAGAAGUUUCUGUUGUGCGCUACAACAUCUAAAGCUGGAGGCCACGCUGUUGCUUAUGAUGUCCAUCAUUGUACCAGCCAAAGAAACAGUAACAAGUUUGGACUGUGAAGCAUCUUGGUUUUCUUGCUCCAACCCCUCUGGGGUUGUACUGCAUGUUUAAACAAAAAGUGCUAAAAAAAGAAAAAAACCAAAAAAGGCAUUCUAUCCAGAUCUUCAGAGACCCACUUCUGGGGCUGGCUUGUGAAAAGUAAAGUACAGGAGCUGGAGAAGACUUGCCUUGUAGGAGCACAGAAAAGCAGAGAUUUAAAUACUUCAACCAGUAGCAGGUGGCCUUAAAACAAAAAAGUCAAAACAGUAAGAAAAAAACCAAAGCCCAACCACUCCAGAAUGACCCUCCCCAACCCCAUAAGGCGUUUAAGUGGGCUGAAAUGUAAACUAGGGUGGGGAUCUGGGCUCAGAUGUUGAUCCGCACCAACAAGAC
This is a long non-coding RNA of Tyto alba (common barn owl), 2939 nucleotides long. RefSeq lists it as uncharacterized. The record is from RefSeq and is a predicted model, not a curated record. The transcript is spliced from 2 exons. NCBI's taxonomy places the organism in Eukaryota, Metazoa, Chordata, Aves, Strigiformes, Tytonidae.